This 1339-nucleotide ribosomal RNA is filed under the name metagenome. Its description in RNAcentral is "bacterial LSU rRNA". It matches the Rfam family "Bacterial large subunit ribosomal RNA", at positions 1558 to 2925 of the family's 2925-position model. The record is from RNAcentral.
AAGGUGUGACGCAUACCGAACUAAAGUAGGGAAAUGUGUGAGCCGGCUGCCGAGAAAAGCCGCUAUUGUUUGUACUGUACCCGUACCGUAAACCGACACAGGUGGAUGAGGAGAGAAUCCUAAGGCCGACGGAAGAAGCAUUGCUAAGGAACUCGGCAAAAUGACCCUGUAACUUCGGGAGAAAGGGUGCCUCGAAAGAGGCCGCAGAGAAUAGGCCCAAGCAACUGUUUAGCAAAAACACAGGUCUAUGCAAAACCGCAAGGUGAAGUAUAUGGGCUGACGCCUGCCCGGUGCUGGAAGGUUAAGGGGAGAUGUCAGGAGACGAAGCAUCGAACUUAAGCCCCAGUAAACGGCGGCCGUAACGAUAACGGUCCUAAGGUAGCGAAAUUCCUUGUCGGGUAAGUUCCGACCCGCACGAAAGGCGUAAUGAUUUGGGCGCUGUCUCGGCAAUGCAUCCGGUGAAAUUGAAGUGCCAGUGAAGAUGCUGGCUACCCGCGCCAGGACGGAAAGACCCCAUGGAGCUUUACUCCAGCUUGAUACUGGGAUUCGGUAUUGUAUGUACAGGAUAGGUGGGAGGCUGAGAAAUGGUGACGCCAGUCGCCAUGGAGCCGCUGUUGGGAUACCACCCUUGCAGUACUGGAUUUCUAACCAGCAGCCGUGAUCCGGCUGGGGGACAAUGUCAGGUGGGGAGUUUGACUGGGGCGGUCGCCUCCGAAAGGGUAUCGGAGGCGCUCAAAGGUUCCCUCAGAAUGGUCGGAAACCAUUCGAAGAGUGCAAAGGCAGAAGGGAGCUUGACUGCGACACCGACGGGUGGGGCAGGUACGAAAGUAGGACUUAGUGAUCCGGUGGUAUUAAGUGGGAAUGCCAUCGCUCAACGGAUAAAAGCUACCCUGGGAUAACAGGCUUAUCACUCCCAAGAGUUCACAUCGACGGAGUGGUUUGGCACCUCGAAGUCGGCUCAUCGCAUCCUGGGGCUGUAGUAGGUCCCAAGGGUUGGGCUGUUCGCCCAUUAAAGCGGUACGCGAGCUGGGUUCAGAACGUCGUGAGACAGUUCGGUCCCUAUCCGGCGUGGGCGUAGGAUAUCUGAGAGGAGCUGACCUUAGUACGAGAGGACCGGGUUGGACUGACCUCUGGUGCACCGGUUGUCAUGCCAAUGGCACAGCCGGGUAGCCAAGUCGGGAAGGGAUAAACGCUGAAGGCAUCUAAGCGUGAAGCCCCCCUCAAGAUGAGAUAUCCCCCGCAUAAGCGGUAAGACCCCUUGAAGACGACGAGGUAGAUAGGGCAGAGGUGGAAGUGCAGUAAUGUAUGGAGCUGACUGCUACUAAUAGGUCGAAGGCUU